GGAUCAAUUAUAAGCCCUAUUUUAAAACAAAUAUAUAUAUAUAAAGAAAUAUUUCCUUCAGAUUAAUGAAAGUGGUAUACUUUGUGACUAAUUCAGUAUAUUUCCUUCAAAUUAAAAAAUAUUUUCAGAAUUCAUUAAAAAAUAUUAGGCGUGAUAAUGGGUCGUGUCGUGUCGGGUUUAUGUCGUGUCGAGAUUUUAAACAGGUCAGAAAUGGUCAACUCAAACACGACCCGUUUAUAAACGGGUUGACACGACCCAACCCAUGUAACCCGCCACCUGUUCAUUUUUUAUUAUAACUAAAUUAAUAAUUUUAACAGUUUGAUAAAACUUCCCCCAAAUACAAC
RNAcentral lists this long non-coding RNA (344 nucleotides) under Prunus persica (peach). RNAcentral describes it as "long non-coding RNA (PPER_LNC000454)". Lineage: Eukaryota; Viridiplantae; Streptophyta; Magnoliopsida; Rosales; Rosaceae. The record is from RNAcentral.